Molecule: ribosomal RNA, 220 nt
Filed under: uncultured bacterium
Lineage: Bacteria
Description: partial 16S ribosomal RNA
Rfam family: Bacterial small subunit ribosomal RNA
Source: RNAcentral
UACGAAGGGGGCUAGCGUUGUUCGGAAUUACUGGGCGUAAAGCGCAUGUAGGCGGAUAUUUAAGUCAGGGGUGAAAUCCCGCAGCUCAACUGCGGAACUGCCUUUGAUACUGGGUAUCUUGAGUAUGGAAGAGGUGAGUGGAAUUCCGAGUGUAGAGGUGAAAUUCGUAGAUAUUCGGAAGAACACCAGUGGCGAAGGCAAUCCCCUGGGCCUGUGCUGA